CUCGCUUGUCCUUUUCUUGUUUGGUUUAAGAGGAACAAGGCAUAUUUUUCUCUAUUACAUUAAGCAAGCAAAGCAAAGAAAAUUUGUUUCCCUCUUUUCCACUCACAUUCAUACCACAUAGAUUUGUAAGGAGAAUGAAGUCAGAAGAGAAAAGAAACAUACUGAAAACACUGGUGGGAAAUAACAAUGCCUAUCCAUCUCAAUUUUUUUUUUAUAUUCCUUUAACUACUAAAAUUAUCUAGGAUAACAAAAAUACCACAAAACUAAGAUAAAAAUUAAGGAAUGCUAGAGAGUUGGAGACGUUAGCCACAAUAGAACAUCACAACAGUUGCUGCAAAUAAACACACAGACAUCACUAAUUUAACAAAAAGGGAAAAAAAGGAGAAUGAACCUUUUAGAGUAAAUCUUUAUCUUUUACAUAGCAAAAGUCUCCAGCAUAACCAGUCAAACAACCACGAGCUACUAGCCCAGCAAAAAUCCGAUGAUGGAAACUAAAAAAAAUUGACUCAAGGUCGGAACCUUGAACGGACUCGCCGGACUUUACCUCGAUUCAACCUGUUUCAGAUGUAAAAGGGGUCGGUUCGAUGGAGGUCUGUGGCUUGCUUUGACAGAUUUCCAUAGUUCCUUGAGAGCUGAUUUUGGGAGGAGGUUUUCAGCUGUUGGUUGAAUGAAAAGGAGCUGGUCGCCUUAGCUGAACACGGAAGGAGAAGAAGGAAGUUCAGCUGCUGGUUACCAUAGCUGAACAGGAAGGAGAAGAGGAUAUGGAGUAGGGAAGAUAAAAAAUCAAA
RNAcentral lists this long non-coding RNA (788 nucleotides) under Nicotiana benthamiana. Its description in RNAcentral is "long non-coding RNA (NBEN_LNC027707)". The record is from RNAcentral. Lineage: Eukaryota; Viridiplantae; Streptophyta; Magnoliopsida; Solanales; Solanaceae.